AGAGCACUCCUACGGGAGGCAGCAGUGGGGAAUAUUGCACAAUGGGCGCAAGCCUGAUGCAGCCAUGCCGCGUGUAUGAAGAAGGCCUUCGGGUUGUAAAGUACUUUCAGCAGUGAGGAAGGUGGGUAUGGUUAAUAGCAUACUCAUUUGACGUUAGCUGCAGAAGAAGCACCGGCUAACUCCGUGCCAGCAGCCGCGGUAAUACGGAGGGUGCGAGCGUUAAUCGGAAUUACUGGGCGUAAAGCGCAUGCAGGUGGUUUGUUAAGUCAGAUGUGAAAGCCCGGGGCUCAACCUCGGAAUUGCAUUUGAAACUGGCAAACUAGAGUACUGUAGAGGGGGUAGGAAUUUCAGGUGUAGCGGUGAAAUGCGUAGAGAUCUGAAGGAAUACCGGUGGCGAAGGCGGCCCCCUGGACAGAUACUGACACUCAGAUGCGAAAGCGUGGGGAGCAAACAGGAUUAGAUACCCUGGAG
This 471-nucleotide ribosomal RNA is filed under the name uncultured bacterium. RNAcentral's name for it is "bacterial SSU rRNA". It matches the Rfam family "Bacterial small subunit ribosomal RNA", at positions 330 to 792 of the family's 1533-position model. The record is from RNAcentral.